GGGGUUGUGGCUCAGUGGGAGAGUACUUGCCUUGUACGUGUGAAGCACUGAGUUCAAUCCUCAGCACCACA
This 71-nucleotide transfer RNA is filed under the name Marmota monax (woodchuck). RNAcentral describes it as "tRNA.Thr". It matches the Rfam family "tRNA". From Rfam's summary of the family: Transfer RNA (tRNA) molecules are approximately 80 nucleotides in length. Their secondary structure includes four short double-helical elements and three loops (D, anti-codon, and T loops). Further hydrogen bonds mediate the characteristic L-shaped molecular structure. tRNAs have two regions of fundamental functional importance: the anti-codon, which is responsible for specific mRNA codon recognition, and the 3' end, to which the tRNAs corresponding amino acid is attached (by aminoacyl-tRNA synthetases). tRNAs cope with the degeneracy of the genetic code in two manners: having more than one tRNA (with a specific anti-codon) for a particular amino acid; and 'wobble' base-pairing, i.e. permitting non-standard base-pairing at the 3rd anti-codon position. Lineage: Eukaryota; Metazoa; Chordata; Mammalia; Rodentia; Sciuridae. The record is from RNAcentral.